RNAcentral lists this ribosomal RNA (434 nucleotides) under Heterixalus andrakata (Andrakata reed frog). Its description in RNAcentral is "partial large subunit ribosomal RNA". It matches the Rfam family "Bacterial large subunit ribosomal RNA", at positions 1970 to 2606 of the family's 2925-position model. Lineage: Eukaryota; Metazoa; Chordata; Amphibia; Anura; Hyperoliidae. The record is from RNAcentral.
UGUUCUCUAAAUAAGGACUAGUAUGAAAGGCACCACGAGGGCUUAACUGUCUCCCUUCUUCCAAUUAAUGAAACUGAUCUUCUCGUGAAGAGCUUUAAACUUAUCACCAUUUACUUCUUAUUACACCACUGUAUAUAGUAAAAUUUACUUGAUAGUUUUCGGCUGGGGUGACCCUGGAGAAAAACAAAUCCUCCAGGAUGAACGGAAUAAUAAUCCUAAUCAAAGAGCUACAGCUCUAUGAAUCAAAAUAUUGACAGAUUUGAUCCAAUUACUUGAUCAACGAACCAAGUUACCCUGGGGAUAACAGCGCAAUCCAUUUCAAGAGCCCCUAUCGACAAAUGGGUUUACGACCUCGAUGUUGGAUCGGGGUGUCCCAGUGGCGCAACCGCUACUAAAGGUUCGUUUGUUCAACGAUUAAUAACCCCACGUGAUCU